Molecule: transfer RNA, 75 nt
Filed under: Staphylococcus epidermidis
Lineage: Bacteria; Bacillati; Bacillota; Bacilli; Caryophanales; Staphylococcaceae
Also listed under: 1 other name
Description: tRNA-Gly
Rfam family: tRNA
About the family: Transfer RNA (tRNA) molecules are approximately 80 nucleotides in length. Their secondary structure includes four short double-helical elements and three loops (D, anti-codon, and T loops). Further hydrogen bonds mediate the characteristic L-shaped molecular structure. tRNAs have two regions of fundamental functional importance: the anti-codon, which is responsible for specific mRNA codon recognition, and the 3' end, to which the tRNAs corresponding amino acid is attached (by aminoacyl-tRNA synthetases). tRNAs cope with the degeneracy of the genetic code in two manners: having more than one tRNA (with a specific anti-codon) for a particular amino acid; and 'wobble' base-pairing, i.e. permitting non-standard base-pairing at the 3rd anti-codon position.
Source: RNAcentral
GCGGAAGUAGUUCAGUGGUAGAACACCACCUUGCCAAGGUGGGGGCCGCGGGUUCGAAUCCCGUCUUCCGCUCCA